Molecule: long non-coding RNA, 1234 nt
Filed under: Sus scrofa (pig)
Lineage: Eukaryota; Metazoa; Chordata; Mammalia; Artiodactyla; Suidae
Description: lncRNA (ENSSSCG00005009961.1)
Source: RNAcentral
UUUUUUUUUUUUUUUCAGGUGCAAAGAUGACCUGAAUUUGCUUCAGGUUCAGUUCUGCUUAGAUGCAUUUAGAUGCUCAUUUCAGCUGAACUUGGUGGAAAAGGAGGUUUGGAUGGUUCUCUUUAUUAUUCUUUGAUGAAGUCACAGAGUAAGUGUUGAUGUUUUACACUGAAGAUCAAUUUCCACAUGUGCACACUGAUUGUGGUGCCACCAUUCUCCAGUCCAUGGUGAGGGAUCAGUGAAACGAUGUCUGUUCACCAUGGUGCCCAGGACAUCGCCGGUUCUUGGUACAUGUGUGUGGAUCUGAAUCACUUUAAGUUAAUAAAGAUUCUAGUCCAAAGAUGGUUCCUUUUUUUUCCCCCUCAUGGACGGCGAGUUUUCUUACAAGGGCAUUUCUUCCUUGGAGGAUUGCGGCAGAGAAAAUAGAAAGUUUGGGUAGAAGAGUGGGGGAUGAAAAGUCUGAAAACAGAGGGGUCUGGAUGUUGCUCCCAUUUCCCUCUCAUCUGCUGCAACCCCCUCAACUCUCUCAUGUGCAGAAACCCUCGGCCUUCAUUGUGUUUUCUCUGCUCUGCUUCAGGAAGUGAGCAGAAGCCAAAAGGGAGUCAGAAAGCGCGUCAGGGAGUUCCCAUGUGGCUCAGCAGGUUAAGGAUCAGGGCUGUCACUGCUGGGGUGCAGACUUGAUCCCUCCCCUGGGAACUUCCUUAUGCCUCGGGCACAGCGCCCCCCCCCCCCGCCCGCCCCCUGCCCAAAUAAAGCAGGUCAGAGGGUGUCUUCUCCUCCCUCGCCUGUUGGAGCAUCAAAUCAGCCUCAGCACCGUGGGACCACACUGAGUUCACGGGAACAUUGUGGGCACAGAUUCAGAGGAGGACGCUGUAACUAAAGGUGAAGCAGGCAGGGCCCCCAGAUACAGAAUGGAUCCGCGUCGGCAGUGGAAUGUGCCGGAGAAGUCCGCUGACCCGACCUUACAACAUGGGUCUCACUUUGUUUGGCUUGUUCACCACCAGCACCCUUGUCCCAAGUCGCUCUCGUUUUUGCUCAGGUUACUGCAGACCACUGACAUACUCUGUAGAGUAACCAAGGGAUCUUUUAGCAGAACAAGGGCAGUGUCUUCACUGCUGGCUCCCCUGCCCCAGCCCUGCCUGUGUCCGCAGCCUCAUCAUUUCUCACUCCUGCAGGGCACGCUGAUCUCUGUGUGGUUCCUCAGGAACACAGACUUCCCUCCUUCUCUGGGCCC